UACGGGGGGGGCAAGCGUUGUUCGGAAUUACUGGGCGUAAAGGGCUCGUAGGUGGCCAACUAAGUCAGACGUGAAAUCCCUCGGCUUAACCGGGGAACUGCGUCUGAUACUGGAUGGCUUGAGUUCGGGAGAGGGAUGCGGAAUUCCAGGUGUAGCGGUGAAGUGCGUAGAUAUCUGGAGGAACACCGGUGGCGAAGGCGGCAUCCUGGACCGACACUGACGCUGAGGAGCGAAAGCCAGGGGAGCAAACGGG
Molecule: ribosomal RNA, 253 nt
Filed under: uncultured bacterium
Lineage: Bacteria
Description: partial 16S ribosomal RNA
Rfam family: Bacterial small subunit ribosomal RNA
Source: RNAcentral